UACGGAGGGUGCAAACGUUGCUCGGAAUCAUUGGGCGUAAAGAGCGUGUAGGCGGCUCGGUAAGUCCGCUGUGAAAGUCCAGGGCUCAACCCUGGAAUGCCAGUGGAAACUGUCGAGCUAGAGUCCGGAAGAGGCGAGUGGAAUUCCUGGUGUAGCGGUGAAAUGCGCAGAUAUCAGGAGGAACACCAAUGGCGAAGGCAGCUCGCUGGGACGGUACUGACGCUGAGACGCGAAAGCGUGGGGAGCAAACAGG
RNAcentral lists this ribosomal RNA (253 nucleotides) under uncultured bacterium. Its description in RNAcentral is "partial 16S ribosomal RNA". It matches the Rfam family "Bacterial small subunit ribosomal RNA", at positions 524 to 776 of the family's 1533-position model. The record is from RNAcentral.